Molecule: ribosomal RNA, 253 nt
Filed under: uncultured bacterium
Lineage: Bacteria
Description: partial 16S ribosomal RNA
Rfam family: Bacterial small subunit ribosomal RNA
Source: RNAcentral
CACGUAGGGGGCGAGCGUUGUCCGGAUUCAUUGGGCGUAAAGGGCGCGCAGGCGGCCCGGAAAGUCGGAUGUGAAAACUCGAGGCUCAACCUCGAGCGUGCACCCGAUACUGCCGGGCUUGAGGCAGGUAGGGGAGAUCGGAAUUCCUGGUGUAGCGGUGAAAUGCGCAGAUAUCAGGAGGAACACCGGUGGCGAAGGCGGAUCUCUGGGCCUGUCCUGACGCUGAGGCGCGAAAGCUAGGGGAGCGAACAGG